RNAcentral lists this transfer RNA (73 nucleotides) under Pedobacter aquae. RNAcentral describes it as "Pedobacter sp. CJ43 tRNA-Ile". The record is from RNAcentral. Lineage: Bacteria; Pseudomonadati; Bacteroidota; Sphingobacteriia; Sphingobacteriales; Sphingobacteriaceae.
AGAAAGCUCAGCUGGUUCAGAGCAUCCCGAUAUAUAAUCGGGAGGGUCACUGGUUCGAACCCAGUAUCUCCCA